GACGUAGGGCGCGAGCGUUGUCCGGAUUUAUUGGGCGUAAAGAGCUCGUAGGCGGCUUGUCGCGUCGUCCGUGAAAACCUGCAGCUCAACUGCAGGCUUGCGGUCGAUACGGGCAGGCUAGAGUUCGGUAGGGGAGACUGGAAUUCCUGGUGUAGCGGUGAAAUGCGCAGAUAUCAGGAGGAACACCGGUGGCGAAGGCGGGUCUCUGGGCCGAUACUGACGCUGAUGAGCGAAAGCGUGGGGAGCGAACAGG
This 253-nucleotide ribosomal RNA is filed under the name uncultured bacterium. RNAcentral describes it as "partial 16S ribosomal RNA". It matches the Rfam family "Bacterial small subunit ribosomal RNA", at positions 524 to 776 of the family's 1533-position model. The record is from RNAcentral.